This 74-nucleotide transfer RNA is filed under the name Paenibacillus lignilyticus. RNAcentral describes it as "tRNA-Gln". It matches the Rfam family "tRNA". From Rfam's summary of the family: Transfer RNA (tRNA) molecules are approximately 80 nucleotides in length. Their secondary structure includes four short double-helical elements and three loops (D, anti-codon, and T loops). Further hydrogen bonds mediate the characteristic L-shaped molecular structure. tRNAs have two regions of fundamental functional importance: the anti-codon, which is responsible for specific mRNA codon recognition, and the 3' end, to which the tRNAs corresponding amino acid is attached (by aminoacyl-tRNA synthetases). tRNAs cope with the degeneracy of the genetic code in two manners: having more than one tRNA (with a specific anti-codon) for a particular amino acid; and 'wobble' base-pairing, i.e. permitting non-standard base-pairing at the 3rd anti-codon position. The record is from RNAcentral. Lineage: Bacteria; Bacillati; Bacillota; Bacilli; Caryophanales; Paenibacillaceae.
UGCCCGGUAGCCAAGCGGCAAGGCAGAUGACUUUGAAUCAUCGACCGCAGGUUCGAAUCCUGCCCGGGCAUCCA